CCUACGGGAGGCAGCAGUGAGGAAUAUUGGUCAAUGGGCGCAAGCCUGAACCAGCCACGUCGCGUGAGUGAUGACGGUCCUAUGGAUUGUAAACCUCUUUUGUCGGGGAGCAAGGCCCGCCACGUGUGGCGGGAAGGCGGGUUACCGAAGAACAAGCAUCGGCUAACUCGGUUCCAGCAGCAGCGGUAUUACGGGGUAUGCGAGCUUUAGCCGGCUUUAUUGGGUUAAAAGGGUGCGUGAGGGGAAGGUUAAGUCAGCGGUAAAAUGGCGGUGUGCAACACGGGACUGCCGUUGAAACUGGUCAGCUUGAGUGCGCGAGAAGUAUGCGGAAUGCGUGGUGUAGCGGUGAAAUGCAUAGAGAUGACGAAGAACUCCGGUGGCGAAGGCAGCAUACCGGCGCUCAACUGACGCUGAGGCACGAAAGCGUGGGGAUCGAACAGGAUUAGAUACCCUAGUAGUC
This 460-nucleotide ribosomal RNA is filed under the name uncultured bacterium. RNAcentral describes it as "partial 16S ribosomal RNA". It matches the Rfam family "Bacterial small subunit ribosomal RNA", at positions 338 to 795 of the family's 1533-position model. The record is from RNAcentral.